Molecule: RNA transcript, 2456 nt
Organism: Selaginella moellendorffii
Lineage: Eukaryota; Viridiplantae; Streptophyta; Lycopodiopsida; Selaginellales; Selaginellaceae
Gene name: betaine aldehyde dehydrogenase 2, mitochondrial
Exons: 18
Source: RefSeq, a predicted model, not a curated record
AAAUGCCAAGUGGCACGAUAAACCCUAGCUAGCAUUUUUUCCUUAAGAGCUAUGGCGCCGGCGAUCCCUUCCAGGCUUCUCUACAUCGGAGGGCAAUGGCGAGCUCCGGAUCUGGGCGGACAGAUAGCGGUCAUCAAUCCAGCGACGGAAGAUACCAUAGGCUACAUUCCCGCUGCCACGGCCGCCGAUGUGGAUCUCGCUGUCAAGGCCGCUAGGGAGGCGUUUACCAAAGACAAUGGGAAAUAUUGGGCAAGAACUACGGGGAAGUACCGGGCAAAGUUUUUGCGAGCCAUUGCUGCCGAGGUGACUGCGAGGAAAUCUGAGUUGGCUGAGCUCGAGGCGAUGGAUUGUGGAAAACCCCUCGACGAAGCAGCAUGGGAUAUGGACGAUGUUGCGGGAUGUUUCGACUACUAUGCUGGUCUGGCCGAAGGUUUGGAUGCAAAGGGGCACCUGUCCGUAGAGCUUCCAAUGGAUACAUUCAAGACUAACGUCUUAAAAGAACCGAUUGGUGUUGUCGGUCUUAUAACUCCAUGGAAUUAUCCUUUACUUAUGUCAACUUGGAAGGUUGCACCAGCUCUUGCAGCAGGCUGUACUGCCAUUCUUAAACCAUCAGAGCUUGCAUCAGUUACCUGCUUGGAACUUGCGUCAAUCGCCGCGAAGGUCGGGCUUCCUGCUGGUGUACUGAAUGUAGUUACUGGAUUAGGGAAAGAUGCCGGUGCGCCUCUGUCUAAGCAUCCUGGUGUUGAUAAGGUUGCAUUCACAGGCAGUACAGCCACUGGAAAAUCAAUAAUGGGAGCAGCUGCUGAAAUAAUCAAGCCCGUGACGCUGGAACUGGGUGGGAAAAGUGCUAUCAUCGUUUUCGAUGAUGUGGAUAUUGAGAAAGCUGUUGAAUGGACAAUGUUCGGAGUGUUUUGGACUAAUGGUCAGAUUUGCAGUGCGACAUCAAGGCUGUUGCUCCAGGAAAAUAUCGCAUCUGUGUUUUUGGAAAGACUGGCAGAGUGGACGAAAACGAUAAAAAUUUCAAACCCCUUGGAGCCGGGAUGCAGACUUGGUCCAGUUGUGAGCGAAGGUCAGUACAAGAAGGUCAUGAAGUACAUAUCUACGGCACAAGAAGAAGGUGCUACGCUGCUGUGUGGUGGGAAACGCCCGGAGCACUUGAGCAAAGGAUAUUUUGUUGAGCCGACAGUCUUUGCGAAUGUCAGGCCCUCCUCUCAGAUAUGGAAAGAAGAAGUCUUUGGUCCGGUCCUUGCAGUUCGGACCUUCAGAACAGAAGAGGAAGCUAUAAAGCUGGCCAACGAUUCUGAGUAUGGACUCGCAGGGGCCGUCAUCUCGACAGACGAGGAGCGCUGCCAGCGUGUAGCAGAGCUGUUGCAAGCGGGAAUCGUAUGGAUCAAUUGUGCUCAGCCGACCUUCACCCAGGCCCCGUGGGGUGGUACAAAACGCAGUGGCUUUGGACGGGAGCUGGGAGAAUGGGGUCUCGAGAACUAUUUGUCCGUGAAGCAAGUUACCAAAUACAUAUCAGAGGAACAGUGGGGUUGGUACCCCCGACCUUCGAAAAUGUAAAGCUAUCGAGGAUGUCUGCUCUAAUGGCCUACAUGUUAUCCUGCAGCCGUAGUCCUCGACCCCGUAAGCGCGCUCUUCCUUAGCAAGAUAGCUUUGCCCAGGAAUAAAUGGGUCGUUGAGACGAAAGUGAUGCGAGCUCACAAGCUUUUCGCUUGUGGCAGUGUGUGUGUUUGUGUGUGUGCGUCCAUACAGGCAUUAUUGGCGGCCUGUGGCCUCUGGCAAGCAGACUGGUCCAUAUCUUCCAUCCAGUCCAGCCUUUAUCUUGUUUGGUGUUUCUCCAAAGCGAUGAAACUCGCUCGAUCGCUCGCACGUUUAGUCUGUCCUGGGUAUUGCGUCCUCUAGUCUCGUUUCUCAUAUUCUUGUUUUGUUCUUUGCUCUUGUCGGAUUCAAGUCAAAGCUAGCUCGCUAGCUCGAGGACAAGCAAUGCAAGGGAGCAAAGCUACUGGAGGCAAAAUGGAGGAGAUAGCUACAUAGCCUAUGACUCGACCAGAACAAGGUAAAACAUCUUUUUCUUUGUCUCUUGUUUGCUUGUCGUUCUCAUCUUCCAGAUUAAGCAGUAGAGCCGCUGAAUCAGAAAACCCGUGGAUGGUGGAUUGACUCUAACAAAAAAUCCAGCCUCCAGAGAGUUUUCGUGCUCACAAUGAUUCCAAACAGUGAAAGCGAGCAAGCCGGAAGAAUGGCAGCGUUGGUAUGUGGAACGGCGCGGUCUACUCAUUUUUCAUGAUCUUGCGAUCUCUCCUGCCUGCCAAUGGCCGCUAAGCUGGCCUGCGAGGAUCUUCGCUUCCAUAUUUUAGCGAGCAAAAAGAUAAAGACGAAAAGAAAAGAGCCUUCCUCCUCGGAUAGAAACUUGUCUGCCAGAGAAGUUCUCUCUUUCAACCUCACCUUUUCCACCA